RNAcentral lists this ribosomal RNA (292 nucleotides) under uncultured bacterium. RNAcentral's name for it is "partial 16S ribosomal RNA". It matches the Rfam family "Bacterial small subunit ribosomal RNA", at positions 505 to 796 of the family's 1533-position model. The record is from RNAcentral.
GUGCCAGCAGCCGCGGUAAUACAGAGGUCUCAAGCGUUGUUCGGAUUCAUUGGGCGUAAAGGGUGCGUAGGUGGCGGGGUAAGUCAGGUGUGAAAUCUCGGAGCUCAACUCCGAAACUGCACUUGAUACUGCCUUGCUCGAGUACUGGAGAGGAGAUUGGAAUUUACGGUGUAGCAGUGAAAUGCGUAGAUAUCGUAAGGAAGACCAGUGGCGAAGGCGAAUCUCUGGACAGUUACUGACACUGAGGCACGAAGGCCAGGGGAGCAAACAGGAUUAGAUACCCUAGUAGUCC